RNAcentral lists this ribosomal RNA (305 nucleotides) under uncultured bacterium. Its description in RNAcentral is "bacterial SSU rRNA". It matches the Rfam family "Bacterial small subunit ribosomal RNA", at positions 336 to 639 of the family's 1533-position model. The record is from RNAcentral.
UUCCUACGGGGGGCAGCAGUGAGGAAUAUUGGUCAAUGGCCGAGAGGCUGAACCAGCCAAGUCGCGUGAGGGAAGACGGCCCUACGGGUUGUAAACCUCUUUUGUCGGGGAGCAAAGAGAGUCACGUGUGACUCAUUGAGAGUACCCGAAGAAAAAGCAUCGGCUAACUCCGUGCCAGCAGCCGCGGUAAUACGGAGGAUGCGAGCGUUAUCCGGAUUUAUUGGGUUUAAAGGGUGCGUAGGCGGGACGGUAAGUCAGCGGUAAAAAUGCGGAGCUCAACUCCGUCGAGCCGUUGAAACUGCCGU